This 544-nucleotide ribosomal RNA is filed under the name Bifidobacterium breve. RNAcentral describes it as "bacterial SSU rRNA". It matches the Rfam family "Bacterial small subunit ribosomal RNA", at positions 157 to 711 of the family's 1533-position model. Lineage: Bacteria; Bacillati; Actinomycetota; Actinomycetes; Bifidobacteriales; Bifidobacteriaceae. The record is from RNAcentral.
CGGGUGGUAAUGCCGGAUGCUCCAUCACACCGCAUGGUGUGUUGGGAAAGCCUUUGCGGCAUGGGAUGGGGUCGCGUCCUAUCAGCUUGAUGGCGGGGUAACGGCCCACCAUGGCUUCGACGGGUAGCCGGCCUGAGAGGGCGACCGGCCACAUUGGGACUGAGAUACGGCCCAGACUCCUACGGGAGGCAGCAGUGGGGAAUAUUGCACAAUGGGCGCAAGCCUGAUGCAGCGACGCCGCGUGAGGGAUGGAGGCCUUCGGGUUGUAAACCUCUUUUGUUAGGGAGCAAGGCAUUUUGUGUUGAGUGUACCUUUCGAAUAAGCACCGGCUAACUACGUGCCAGCAGCCGCGGUAAUACGUAGGGUGCAAGCGUUAUCCGGAAUUAUUGGGCGUAAAGGGCUCGUAGGCGGUUCGUCGCGUCCGGUGUGAAAGUCCAUCGCUUAACGGUGGAUCCGCGCCGGGUACGGGCGGGCUUGAGUGCGGUAGGGGAGACUGGAAUUCCCGGUGUAACGGUGGAAUGUGUAGAUAUCGGAAAGAACACCA